Acanthosepion pharaonis is the source of this 109-nucleotide non-coding RNA. Lineage: Eukaryota; Metazoa; Mollusca; Cephalopoda; Sepiida; Sepiidae. The record is from the annotation of a GenBank genome assembly.
AGCCAUAUCACAUUGAAACACCGCUUCUCAUCCAAUCAUUGAAGUUAAGCAAUCUUGAACCUGGUCAGUACCUAGAUGUGAGACCUCUUGGAAAUACCAGGUGAUGUAA